Molecule: ribosomal RNA, 399 nt
Filed under: uncultured bacterium
Lineage: Bacteria
Description: bacterial SSU rRNA
Rfam family: Bacterial small subunit ribosomal RNA
Source: RNAcentral
GGAAUAUUGCACAAUGGGGGAAACCCUGAUGCAGCAACGCCGCGUGAGUGAAGAAGUAUUUCGGUAUGUAAAGCUCUAUCAGCAGGGAAGAAGAAAGACGGUACCUGACUAAGAAGCCCCGGCUAACUACGUGCCAGCAGCCGCGGUAAUACGUAGGGGGCAAGCGUUAUCCGGAUUUACUGGGUGUAAAGGGAGCGUAGACGGCGCGGCAAGUCUGAAGUGAAAGGCAGGGGCUUAACCCCUGAACUGCUUUGGAAACUGCCACGCUAGAGUGCUGGAGAGGUAAGUGGAAUUCCUAGUGUAGCGGUGAAAUGCGUAGAUAUUAGGAGGAACACCAGUGGCGAAGGCGGCUUACUGGACGAUAACUGACGCUGAGGCUCGAAAGCGUGGGGAGCAAAC